UCCCGGAUCGUCUAGCUGGUAGGACACGAGAUUUUGACUCUCGCAACGCGGGUUCGAGGCCUGCUCUGGGAACCA
Molecule: transfer RNA, 75 nt
Filed under: compost metagenome
Description: tRNA-Gln
Rfam family: tRNA
About the family: Transfer RNA (tRNA) molecules are approximately 80 nucleotides in length. Their secondary structure includes four short double-helical elements and three loops (D, anti-codon, and T loops).
Source: RNAcentral